UGUCGGCCCGAGUUCUCUGUCAUAUGGAUGCUAGCGACAUUAUCAUAUACGUGAGCCAAAAGGCGCAAACGGUCCCGGGCCAUGGUAAGGCGACACCCGUGGGAAUACCGUGCGUGAGGCCCUAAAGUGAUAUGAGGUGCUACCGGCUAGAUCGAUGUGACUUGGAAUCGGGGUCCUGACAUUGAGGAGAUAGUCCAAGAUUUGGUGGAUUAAUUAAUAUUUUUUGAACAUAGUACAAGCGCAAGUGUUAUAUAAACGUGCAUACACUCACCUCUAUGAACGCACGCACGCACACCCUAUCCCUAUGAGCACCGUCGAGAGACUAAGCCGGCAUUUCAUCUUGAGAUUUUACAAAGUCAGCGUAGGUGCCUCGUAGUCGAUGGGAACAAUUUGGAUUUAGUUCGGUGAGUGUGAUAUUGAACCAAAUUCCUCGGUGAUUUAUUUGAUUUUAGGUGGAUUUAGUUAGGUGAUUGAGUCUUGAGAAGAUAGUCAAAAUGUUUGGUGGAUUAUGAGAUUUUAGGUAUGGUAAAUGAGCAAGGUGAUUAUUAUAUUAGUUCUAAACAAAUAUUUAGAUCAAUUUGGAUUUAGGUAGGGGAUUGUGAUCUUUUAACCUAAUUUUACAAUGGAUUAUGAGGUUUUGGUUGGAUUUAGUUAGGUGCUUGUGAUCUCGACAAGGUAGUUAAAGAUGUUUCAUGGACUAAUAUGUCUAGUAAGCGAGCAUGGUGGCUACUACAUUGGUGGAUAAAUGGAUCUUUAAUAAGCUUGAAGAUAUUUGAAUUUAGUUAGGCGAUUGUGAUCUUGAACCAAAUUUCAUGGUGGAUUACGAGAUUUUAGCCGGAUUUGAUUAGUUGAUUGCGAUUUUCAGGAGAUAGUAAAAGAUGUUCGGUGGAUUAAUUAAUCUUGAACAAUUUGGAUUUAGUUACGUGAUUGUGAUAUUGAACCAAAUUUCUCGUUGAUUUAUGAGAUUUUAGCUGGAUUUAGUUAGGUGAUUGCGUCUUCAAAAGAUAGUCAAAGAUGUUCAGUGAUUAUGAUAUUUUAGGUCUAGUAGAUGAGCAUGGCAAUUAUUAUAUUGGUGGAUAAACAAAUAUUUAAUAUAGUUUGGAACAGUUUGGGUUUAGUUAGGUGAUUGUGAUUUUUAACCAAAAUUUAGGGUGGAUUAUGAGGUUUUGAUUAGAUUUAGUUAGGUGAUUGGGAUCUUGACGAGCUAGUAAAAGAUGUUCGGUAGAUUAUGUGAAUUUAGAUCUAAUAGGUGAGCAUCUUGAUUAUUAUAUUGGUGGAUAAAUAAUUUUUCUAUAAACUUGGACAAAUUUGAAUUUAGUUACGCAAUUGUGAUCUUGAACCAAUUUUAUGGUGGAUUAUGAUAUUUUUGAUGGAUUAGUUAGUUGAUUGUGAUCUUGAGGAGAUAGUCAAAGAUAUUCGAUGUAUUAAUUAACUCGAACAAUUUGGAUUUAGUUAGGUGAUUGUGAUAUUGAACUAAAUUUCUCUGUGAUCUAUGAGAUUUUAGUUGGAUUUAGUUAGGUGAUUGUGUCUUCAGAAGAUAAUCAAAGAUGUUUGAUGGGUUAUGAGAUUAUAGGUCUAAUAAAUGAGCAUGGUGAUUAUUAUAUUGAUGGGUAAACAGAUAUUUAAUUAGUUUGAAACAAUUUGGAUUUAGUUCAGUGAUGAUCUUUUAACCUGAUUUUAUGCUGGAUUAUAAGGUUUUGGUUGGAUUUAGUUAGGUGAUUGUGAUUUUGAUGAUGAGCUAGUAAAAGAUGUUCCGUGGAUUAUGUGAAUUUAGGUCUACUAGGUGAGCAUGUUGAUUAUUAUAUUGGUGGGUAGAAAUAAGGGCCACACGAGUGACUCAAGGCGAUGGUGCCACUACUGAAAAUAACUGGUAAACACGACAAGAGAGGCGGAGAGACUGUGGGUGAUGGGAGUAGAUGGACUUUGAUCCAGCAUCCUACCUCUUCAAAGAUGUUUGAUGGGUUAUGAGAUUAUAGGUCUAAUAAAUGAGCAUGGUGAUUAUUAUAUUGAUGGAUAAAUAAAUAUUUAAUUAGUUUGAAACAAUUUGGAUUUAGUUCGGUGAUGAUGAUCUUUUAACCUAAUUUUACGGUGGAUUAGAAGGUUUUGGUUGGAUUUAGUUAGGUGAUUGUGAUUUUGAUGAUGAGCUAGUAAAAGAUGUUUGGUGGAUUAUGUGAAUUUAGGUCUAGCAGGUGAGCAUGUUGAUUAUUAUAUUGGUGGGUAGAAAUAAGGGCCACACGAGUGACUCAAGGCGAUGGUGCCACUACUAAAAACAACUGGUAAACACGACAAGAGAGGCGGAGAGACUGGGGUGAUGGCAGUAGAUGGACUUUGAUCCAGCAUCCUACCUGCCAGUGCACUCUCCUUCCCCGCUGAUCCGGCUUGGUGUCCUUGUCCUGUUUGCGGAUUUGUGUCACGCACUUGAUUAAGCAUCCCACGUUCUCCUAAUGUGCGCCCUUGGCCUUGACGAUAGGUAGCGCCGUGUUCUCGGACGCGUCCCGUGGGUAAAAUUCAGGUAUGCGUCGAUUGUCUGAGCUCUUGCUCGCCAUUGUGCCGCCCAGCAAGGGAACACAUGAUGUGGGAUCAAGACAACACACAUAGCAACCCGCCACCAGGCAACGGACGCCCAUCCGGACUUACAGGGAGCGGAGGUGGACAAAAAGGUGGAUGUUGAGCUCCAUAGUAGUCUCAACAGUGUGCUCAUUAGUAAGAGUAGCACGAGCAAGAAGAUCCUGGACAUACUGCUCUUAGGAAAUAAAGAAGCCAUUAGAGGUAGAAGAAACCUCAAUCUCAUGGAGCAAUUUGGAUUUACUUAGGCGAUUGUGAUCUUGAACAAAUUUUAUGGUGAAUUAUGAGAUUUUUGAAUGGAUUUAGUUGAUUGUGAUCUUGAGGAGAUAGUCAAAGAUGUUCGGUGUAUUAAUUAAUCUUGAAGAAUAUGGAUUUAGUUAGGUGAUUGUGUCUUGAGAUAAUAAUCAAAGAUGUUUCGUGGAUCAUGAGAUUUUAGGUCUAGUAGAUGAGCAUGGUGAUCAUUAUAUAGUUAGGUGAAUGUGAUUUUGACGAGCUAGUAAAAGAUGUUCGGUGAAUUAUUGUGAAUUUAGGUCUAGCAGGUAAGCAUGUUGAUUAUUAUAUUGAUGGAUAAAUAAAUUUUAGGUCUAGUAGAUGAGCAUGGUGAUCAUUAUAUAGUUAGGUGAAUGUGAUUUUGACAAGCUAGUAAAAGAUGUUCGGUGAAUUAUUGUGAAUUUAGGUCUAGUAGGUGAGCAUGUUGAUUAUUAUAUUGAUGGAUAAAUAAAUUUUCAAUAAAUUUAAAACAAUUUGCAUUUAGUUAGACGAUUGUGACCUUGAAUCAAAUUUCAUGGUGGAUGAUGAGAUUUUUGAUGGAUUAGUUAGUUGAUUGUGAUCUUCAAGAGAUAGUCAAAGAUGUUUUGUGGAUUAAUUAAUCUUGAACAACUUGGAUUUAGUUAAGUGGUUGCGAUACUGAACCGAAUUUCACGCUGGAUUAUGAGAUUGUAGGUGGAUUUAGUUAGGUGAUUGUGUCUUGAGAAUAUUGUCAUAGAUGUUUGCUAGUCUAUGAGAUUUUAGGUUUAGUAGAUGGGAAUGGUGAUUAUUAUAUUGGUAGAUAAACAAAUCUUUAUUUUAGUUUGGAACAAUUUUGACUCACUUAGGUAAUUGUUAUUUUUCAACCAAAUUUACGGUGGAUUUUGAGAUUUUUUUGGAUUUAGUUAGGUGACUGAUCUUGACAAGAUAGUCAAAUAUGUUUGGUGAAUUAUGUUAAUUUAGAUCUAGUAAGUGAGCAUGGUGGUAAUUAUAUUGGUGGAUAGAUGGAUCUUUAGUAAAAAUGAAGCAAUUUGGAUGUAGUUGGGUGAUUGUGAUCUUGAACAAAUUUCACGGUGGAUUACGAGAUUUUCAAUAGAUUUAGUUAAUAGAUUGUGAUCUUGGGGGAUGUCAAAGAUGUUCGGUGGAUUAAUUAAUUUUGAACAGUUUCAAUUUAGUUAGGUGAUUGCGAUAUUCAACCAAAUUUCUCGGUGAUUUAUGAUAUCUUAGUUGGAUUUAGUUAGAUGAUUGUGUCUUCAGAAGAUAGUUAAGGAUGUUCGAUGGAUUAUGAGAUUUUAGGUCUAGUAGAUGAGCAUGGUGAUUAUUAUAUUGGUGGAUAAACAAAUGUUUAAUUUAGUUUGGAACAAUUUAGAUUUAGUAAGGUGAUUGUGAUAUUGAACCAAAUUUCUCUGUGAUUUAUGAGAUUUUAGUUGGAUUUAGUUAGGUGAUUGUGUCUUGAGAAGAUAGUCAAAGAUGUUUGGUGGAUUAUGAGAUUUUAGGUCUAAUAGAUGAGCAUGGUGAUUAUUAUAUUGGUGGAUAAACAGAUAAAGUGAUAUUUAAUUUAGUUUGCAAUUUGGAUUUAGUUAGGUGAUUGUGAUCAUUUAACUUAAUUUUACGAUGGAUUAUAAGGUUUUGGUUGGAUUUAGUUAGGUGAUUGUGAUUUUGACGGGCUAUUAAAAGAUUUUCGGUGGAUUAUGUGAAUUUAGGUCUAGUAGGUAAGCAUGUUGAUUAUUAUAUUGGUGGAUAAAUGGGUCUAUAGUAAACAUGGAGCAAUUUGGAUUUAGUUAGGCGAUUGUGACCUAGUACAAAUUUCAUGGUGGAGAUUUGCAAUGGAUUUAGUUGAUUGUGAUCUUGAGGAGAUAGUCACAGAUGUUCGGUGGAUAAAUUAAUCUUGAACAAUUUGAAUAUAUUUAGGUGAUUGUGAUAUUGAACCAAAUAUCUCUAUGAUUUAUGGGAUUUUAGUUGGAUUUAAUUAGGUGAUUGUGUCUUGAGAUGAUAAUCAAAUAAGUUUGGUGGAUUAUGAGAUUUUAGGUGCAGUGGAUGAGCAUGGUGAUUACUAUAUUAGUGGAUAAGCAUAUAUUUAAUUUAGUUUGGAACAAUUUGGAUUUAGUUAGGUGAUUGGGAUCUUGACGAGCUAGUAAAAGAUGUUCGGUGGAUUAUGCGAAUUUAGGUCUAGUAGGUGAGCAUGUUGGUUAUUAUAUUGGUGGAUAAAUAAUUUUUUAAUAAACUUGAAAAAAUUUGGAUUUUGUUAGGUGAUUGUGAUCCUUUAACUUAAUUUUAUGGUGGAUUAUAAGGUUUUGGUUGGAUUUAGUUAGGUGAUUGUGAUUUUGACGAGCUAUUACAAGAUUUUCGGUGGAUUAUGUGAAUUUUGGUCUAGUAGGUGAGCAUGUUGAUUAUUAUAUUGGUGGAUAAAUGGGUCUAUAGUAAACAUGGAGCAAUUUGGAUUUAGUUUGGUGAUUGUGACCUAUUACAAAUUUCAUGGUGGAGAUUUGCAAUGGAUUUAGUUGAUUGUGAUCUUGAGGAGAUAGUCAGAGAUGUUCGGUGGAUAAAUUAAUCUUGAACAAUUUGAAUAUAUUUAGGUGAUUGUGAUAUUGAACCAAAUUUCUCUAUGAUUUAUGGGAUUUUAGUUGGAUAUAAUUAGGUGAUUGUGUCUUGAGAUGAUAAUCAAAUAUGUUUGGUGGAUUAUGAGAUUUUAGGUCUAGUGGAUGAGCAUGGUGAUUACUAUAUUGGUGGAUACACAUAUAUUUAAUUUAGUUUGGAACAAUUUGGAUUUAGUUAAGUGGUUGUGAUCUUUUGACCAAAUUUUAGGUGAAUUACGAGGUUUUGGUUGGAUUUAGUUAGGUGAUUGGGAUCUUGACGAGUUAGUAAAAGAUGUUCGGUGGAUUAUGCGAAUUUAGGUCUAGUGGGUGAGCAUGUUGGUUAUUGUAUUGGUGGAUAAAUAAUUUAUUAAUAAACUUGGAAAAGUUUGGAUUUAGUUAGGCGAUUGUGAUCUUGAACCAAAUUUUAUGGUGGAUUAUGAGAAUUGUGAUGGAUCAGUUAGUUGAUUGUAAUCUUGAGGAGAUAGUCAAAGAUGUUCGGUGUAUUAAUUAAUCUUGGACAAUUUGCAUAUAGUUAGGUGGUUGUGAUAUUUAAACAAAUUUCUCCGUGAUUUAUGAGAUUUUAGUUGUGUUUAUUUAGGUGAUUGUGUUUUGAGAAGAUAGUCAAAGAUGUUUGGUAGAUUAUGAGAUUUUAGGUCUAAUAGAUGCGCAUGGUGAUUAUUAUAUUGGUGGAUAAAUGAAUAUUUAAUAAAUUUGGAAUAACUUGGAUUUAGUUAGCCGACUGUGAUCUUGAAUCAAAUUUUAUGGUGGAUUAUGAGAGUUAAUUUGGCGGCGCUUCGCUUCUUCCUCGAGGAGCAUGUGCAGUGAAGUGGUGCGGGGGCUCGUGCGGCCUGCGGAGGCCUGCGAAGGUGGGCGGUGACACCUGCAACUUGUGCACAAUGGCGACUCCACGCAUCUCUUGCGCCCCGCAACCCUCUCCUUCCCGGCACAACAGGAGUAGGAGCAAGGAUGCCGAGGCGGUUCAGUCGCGAGGAAGAGUAGGAAGAUCAGGCAGAGAGGGUUUCACACACCUCUUCUACACUGACAAGUCUUUGCAUUCCAGGAUUGCCAUGGGAGCUUUGGAUGGUGGUCUUGAUCUUCCGCACAGUGACAGGAGAUUUGCUGGCUUCAAGAAGGAUAAGAAGCAGUUGGGCGCUGAGAUUCACCUCAAAUACAUCUAUGAAGGUCAUGUUGCUGACUACAUGAAGUCAAUAGCUGAUGAGGAACCUAAGAAGUACCAAUCUCACUUCAGUGAGUACAUCAAGAAGAACUGAAGAAGAUCAAGGGUUACAGAUGCCACAAGGCUUGCCUAACAAAUGUUCCUAGAAAAGGAAUGAUUGAGAAAAAAGGCUUUGCUCUCCAAGUGCAGAACACUUUCCCACUCCCCAUCGAUGACGAUCUUCCUGGUAGCUCUUUUAGUACCACAGAAGUUAUUCCGAAAGGUCAUUAAGCUUAUUCUAAUGCCAACUUCUGUAGAGGUGCUUGUCCUGGUUAUUACAGUAUGUUCCUUUUGACAACCAACAGAAGUGUACAAAUUAUUUAAAUGGGUUCGCAAGGUAUUUUCAUUAGCAAUGCCACAAGGCACCAGAAAGCACAAGUAGCGAGAUUGUGUUAAAUUAAUCUGCUAGAGUAUGGUGAUAACAGAGGGGCACUGUUUUUGAAAAUUGUUUUUUCUGUUUCAAUUGUAUAGGGCCCUCCGCAACGAUAUUGAUUUCAUCAGGUGUAGAUGUUUAGUUGGACAGAUAUUGUUCGUCACUUUCUUAGUGCAUGCCUAGCUGUUUCCCCUUUUUACAUUGCUUCUUUUCUGUAGGAUUUCUUGAAACAUAAUAACUUGCUUCCACAAUUGUGGAAUGAUCAUGGUUUCUUUGCAUUCCUGUACUUUCAUAUGAUUAACAAUUUCAUGGCUAACCUAGGUAACAAGCAGACAUCAUUGGCAUUAGCCAAUGCAUUUCCGUUAAAUGCCCUGCUGGCCGAGUGCAACUUCGUUCUUCUUUAGUGGGUAUUUGUAUUUUCCAAAAAGAAGUUGGUGCACCUCAUAGUUGUAUUGUAGCCUGACUAUUAUGCCUAGAUUUUGCUCUAUGAUACAGAACUAAGUAGUGAUUUGAGCUGCCUUAUUCCCAGAUAGUGACUAUCUAAAUUAUUGACAUCAGAGGACGGGGCGUCGACCCGUUGGCUGGGCAGCUGGGGUACCAGCCAGUCCACCCGAGUUCGAGCCCCGGCUUUGACGCGUGAUGCCCGCGGAGCUUUUCCUAUAAAAAAAUACCAACGAGGGUUAGCCCUUGGGUUGGUCUCAUUUAAAAAAAAUUAUUGACAUCCACUCAAAUAAAUAUACAAGAUUUGUAUGAAAGGGAACCACUUAUCUUUUUAACAAGAAAUAUGUUUAGCGUCAUAACAAUGUUCAGGUCGCACAUGCAUACCAGAACACUGAGGGGUGGUCUUACAAAUGACAACUACUUUCAUGUCAGUAAUUUCUUCUGUUUGACAUAUUCCACGAGCCUUCUUGCUAGCUCCAGUCAUACAAUUUAUCAUUAUAUCCACCAUAUUUUUAUGCUCGGCAUUCCUAAUCUGCCGGUCACAAGAAACUGUAGUAUAGUGUCAGGUCGCACAUUCUUUUUGUUUCAUGGUUCAGUACAGGUCUCAUGGUGAGCAGCAGCACUAGGUUGCAGUAUAAUGUCAGCUGAUUGCAACAUCCUGAGUUAUUUUAUCGAUGUUUUGCAUCUGGAAGCUUGAAUCUCUUUCAACUUUCAGUACACAUAUAUUCUGAUUUGUGCAUCUUUUUGGUUGUAAUCAUAUGGCUUGCAUAUUUUAUCGGACUGAUCAGUCACAAAGAUCGGACUGAUCAUAUUUGGUACAGAAUAUCAAAAGAAGCAUUUAUAUCAUCUUUUUGUGUGCUUUAUCUGUAGAAAAGUACCAUGGGUUGAUGGUGUUGGAUCCAAUUACUAUAUGAUGUAAUUGACUGCUAUUCCUAAGAACUGCUCCUGGACACAGUGCUCUAUGUUAUCAUGUUUUACAUUCUAUUGUGUCGCCUAUCUUUAUAGUUACUCGGAUCUUACAUUUCAAUUUUUGUAUUUUUGUCUGUGCAAGUGUUGUCUUCCUACUAUCAAACAACAGGGAUUUCUUUAAAUUAAAUUGUACAUAUUGUUGAAAAAUAUCCUGUGUAUGUCUAUAUUCAUGCCUAGUAUAAAACAAACAUUCUUCAUUGCCUAUGCCUUUUCCUUCUGUUAAUGAUGAUAAUGUAGUUCUCCAUCUUAUUAAUUCCUUCUUCAUUCACUUGAAAUAUUGCCUAAUUUUUGUGUGUGUGUAUUUGGUUUAGCACCCUGACUUAUGGUCAAACUGAAGGUGCUUAGCAUGGUCUGGUAUGCAUUUCUCAGUUUCUCUUGAUUUCUGUUUCUGUUUCUGUUUCAUUUCAUUUUAAGCCGAUUGUAUUUGCAUACAUAUUGGAGAGGUUAUUUCUCGUGUGAAGUUACUAUUUUUUUUCAGUUCUGAAGCACCUUCCUCAACUUUGAUGGUCUACUUUACAAGAGAAAAUAUUUCUCUGUUUGUAUGGUGCAGGUUUCUUUAUGGUCUACUUUACAAGAGAAAACAUUUCUCUGGAAGGAGCUGCUGACAAGGUUUAACAACAAACUGGACGGAGUUCUUCACAUGGCAAACAUAGAUGAAGGAACGAUGUAUGCCUUCACCUUCAGAUGCAAGGCAAAGUGCCUCCGCCUCUGUCUAACUUCUCACUUCCUAUGAGGACACCAUCGUAAACCUUCGGUGUCACCUAUAUAUAACUUGUGUACCAGACUUCAUGCUUAUAAUGCUCUUAUACCCCCCCCCCCCCCAAAAAAAUCCCACCACGCCUGGGGCUGGCACACGAUUUUUUAUGGUGCAGGUAUUGCGAGCUAAUCCUACCCCCUCCCCGAAGUUUCUGGAAAAUGUGGGCUCCAUUACCAGCAGUAUCGAGAUCGGAGGCGAGGGCCGAGCAGUUUCGGCGGCGAGCGGGCGAUUUCGCGUUGGGCGCCCUCGUCGGCAUUGGCUUUCAGCCAGGAGGAAUCGAUGCCUCAGCUUCGCAGCGACACGUUACAGCGUCUCCACCGCCACCGCUUCUGCCCUGAGGUUAUUUGGCGGUGGGCAGCACCACGUGAAAUCUAAUGCAGAGGAUUUGGGCAUUUUCCUACCGGUGGAAGACCUGCAUCCAGCCCCACAAGUCCUUUACUAGCCCUCCUUGCCGCAGUUCCAUCCUCUACCGUCAGGCCAGGCUGGUACGAGAUUCUGGCAAGGAUCUAUUUUCUCAGCCCUUUUUCAUUACGUGUGUAUUCUUCAGUAAUGCUCCCAAAUCUUUUCUCACUCCAGAAUUCCAGAUACAAUGCAUCACGUAAUUUCUUUUGUUUAGUUGCCAUUAGCCAGAUAUUCACAUAAUUCGAGUUAGAUUUAUUUGAACUGCAGAGUGUCGUACUGACGCUCACCCAUUAUUCAUUCAGGUUAUUUCCUGUUAAUUUCUAUAGAAUAAACUAGACGAGAAUGUGUUAUUUUGCUGAGUGAUCAUAUGGUUAUAGCUAGGCUCCAUUAGUUUGUGUAUGGAAGUAACCUGCUAUUCUCUCUUCAACCAACUGCAUAAGUAAAAUUAUUGUGAUUAUCCAUCUGAUGACAUGAGUAAUUCAAAUGUUGGUCUGUGUGCAUGCUGUCAAUGCUUGGCUCCUAGUACCUGUUUACAGAUAGAGUUAUUUCCAUUGCAAUGAGAACGGCUGUUAAUAUUUGCUUAUUUUUUGGUUGAACCAACCCACAAACCAAGAGGAGUCAUUUCCAUUUUUGGUUGACCCUCUUCUCCUUUGUUCUCCUUGGUAGUCCAGAAAUCAGUAACUUGAAAAGAUUCAAAUCAAGGUUUCCUGAUAAUUCUUUUGAAUCUUCCUGUAAGGCAGGCUUUUCAGAUAUCCCCCAUUUAACUAAAGGUGCAUUCCUUUUACUUCCGGUGAUAUAAACUUAAUUUGUCUAACCUUCUGUGCAUAGGGUCUCCUUCGCAUGAGAGAUAAAGAUGUUCCUUGUACAGUAUUUAGGUUCUGUAGUAAAAAAAUUAUUUUUUUGAUUGGUUGUUCUUACUUGUCAGUCACACAAGCCUUUAUAUUAGGCCUUAGAUGCUAUUAAGUACUAACUGUUAACCCUUUGUAGUUCAAGAGCAGAAUUUCCACUCCCUAGUUCAUAUUUCUCUGCGCCUUAUUCUAGUUCCAAAAAUGCAUUUUGAUGGUGCAACUUGUUGAUUGCCUGCUGUUAUUGUGAAUAUCUGAUUAUGCUUGAUAGCAUCACUAUCGAAGAUGGCCUCAUUAAAAAUCUUAGUUGGGGAGUGAAAUUUGCUUUAGUAGUAUGUACUGAAUUUUCUUAUACAGUCAUAAGAUGAAUUUCUUCCUGUGAACUGAGGACUGAAGGCAGGGGCUAGGAUUAUUGUGUAUAUUUACAUUACACGGGGUCAAACUGAUUCUAGUGCUCAACAGUAUGAUAGUGACCCAAAAGCAAUAGUUUAGCCCCUGCAUAAAUCAUGGGAAAUCCCACGUGCAUGGAAAAUGUAACUAUUUGUAUUUUAAAUAUAAUUUAUAUUUAUGAAAUGAUCGUAAAAUUACCUCGGGUGAAGAAUAACUUAUUCUGCACCCUGGGUGAUGAAUAGUAACACCUAAUUAGCAUACAUAUAGUCUAAUCACCAUGAAAUAUGUCUCUGUGUGAUUACCUCAUGGUUUGUUUUUUACACUGUCCAAAUCUAAUUAGCAUAUAUAUAUAUAUAUAUAUUCAAGAACAGUCAUAGCAACUAAGGCAAUGGGUAGAUAUGAUGCUUAGCGCCUUUCCUUUGUAGAUACUAAUCAAUUCAAACUUUAAGUAUAUACUGUCCUUUGUUGUAAAGCUGCAGAGAUGUCAAACCUUUUGUUCAGAAUUUGAUAUCCAAGCUGCAGAGGUGGCACAUAAUAUAGGUCUGGAGAAAGCGAAACUUUUGUGAAACUUAGCUUGUAUGAGACUAAUAGAGAAGCUGCAAAAAAAUAGUUUGAACCUAACAAUGAUAAAAAGUAGGUUGCCCUUGUAAAUCUGUCAAGUAAUUUUCUAAAACAAUUUUACUCAAGGAUUAGUUUAACUAUUGAGAGGUCCUAAUCCUGUUUGUACUUUGGUUCUUCUUGUUUUAGCUACUACUGACCUUGUUCAUGGAUACAGGAACCGGGAAGAGCAAGUUGAUUUUGCAAGUUUUGGUUCGGUUGACACUUAUGUGUUUUUGUUACUGAUUUGUAGCUCCUAUUUUUUUUAUCUUCUUUUGAGAAUGUAACUCCACUGAUUAGUAGGAUCAAUAAUUACCAUAAUAAAGCUGCCACACUUGCCUUCUUAGAAGAUCCAUUAAAGAAACAUGGCAAAUCUCACCAAUUGAAGUUUUUUUUUAAAGAAACAUAGCCUGAUACUGUUGGUAGUAGCUUACAUUAAACCGAGAACAGUUGACAUCAUCACAUUUGCAUGGGCAUGUCUAGGUUUUGCUUCUCAAGGAAGACACACCCAUUCUCUUCCGAGUUUGAGUUUAACAUGUAUUGUACUAUUUCCAUUAGCACUAUGCAUUUCAGUUUUGGACACUCCAAUGGCGACAUUAGGUAUGCUUAGCAAAACUAAUCAUUCUGGAAUCAACACGUCAUAUGACCGAAAAUACAUGGGCUUUAGUUAGCUCAUAGUAACCGUGUACAUGUUUAUUGAUCCAAAAAAGAUGUCUUGUAAAACCGAAUUACAUACGCAUUUAAGUGUAAAACGUGAUCUGGAUGAUGGCAUUAUCCUUAACUAUGCCUUGCCAUGAUAUGUCCAUACAUAUUCAGUGUGCUCUUUCACUUGAGAACAAUAGUAGUUGUAGUAAGUUUUUCCAAAAGUUUCUGCCAAAAAUCACUAUGUUAGAGCCACUGGUGGUUCCUGAAAUUGUAAUGGGGAAGAACCCAUUUAUCAAUUUCAGAACCAGCAUUUUUGGAUUGAAUAUUUUGUAAUGUGUUCGAUUGUUUUUAACUAGUGAAAUAAAAUUACAGAGACUUCAUUAUUAAAUUUUACAUCUCUUGUGCUGCCUCGUUGACCUUAGUUAGGUAGAUUAGGUAGCAGUUCUAUGUUGGUAUCGAGCUGGUCAACAGAAAUUGCAUCGGCGUACUGUGGCAUCUGCCACAAUGCAAGCAUAGCUGCGACCUUGGUAUCUACUCCCUCCGUUCCUAAAUACUUGUCUUUCUAGACAUUUCAAAUGACUACUACAUACGGAUGUAUGUAGACAUAUUUUAGAGUGUAGAUUCACUCAUUUUGCUCCGUAUGUAGUCACUUGUUGAAAUGCCUAGAAAGACAAGUAUUUAGAAACGGAGGGAGUAGCCUCUUACAAUUUUUCUUCAGCUUGUAGUUUGGGUACAUGCGGUGUUAAUUUUUGUUGCAUGUUCUACUGUUUCCUGAUUCUCAUGGAGGUACAAAUAUCCAAUUUCAAAAGAAAGGCAUUUGCCUCCAA
This is a long non-coding RNA of Triticum aestivum (bread wheat), 12849 nucleotides long. RefSeq lists it as uncharacterized. The transcript is spliced from 7 exons. The record is from RefSeq and is a predicted model, not a curated record. Lineage: Eukaryota; Viridiplantae; Streptophyta; Magnoliopsida; Poales; Poaceae.